AGGACGAACGCUGGCGGCGUGCUUAACACAUGCAAGUGGAGCGACGAACCAGGGCUUGCCCUGGGGCAGAGCCGCGAACGGGUGAGUAACACGUGGGUUACCUGCCUCGAUGACCGGGACAACCCGAGGAAACUCGGGCUAAUACCGGAUGUGCCCGCAAGGGGAAAGGAAGCUUCGGCCUCCGCAUUGAGAUGGGCCCGCGGCCCAUUAGCUUGUUGGUGAGGUAACGGCUCACCAAGGCUUCGAUGGGUAGCUGGUCUGAGAGGACGAUCAGCCACACUGGGACUGAGACACGGCCCAGACUCCUACGGGAGGCAGCAGUGGGGAAUCUUGCGCAAUGCGCGAAAGCGUGACGCAGCAACGCCGCGUGGGGGAAGAAGGCUUUCGGGUUGUAAACCCCUUUCAGUUGGGACGAAGCUUCUCCGGUGAAUAGCCGGAUGGAGUGACGGUACCUUCACAAGAAGCACCGGCUAACUACGUGCCAGCAGCCGCGGU
RNAcentral lists this ribosomal RNA (495 nucleotides) under uncultured bacterium. Its description in RNAcentral is "SSU rRNA". It matches the Rfam family "Bacterial small subunit ribosomal RNA", at positions 26 to 521 of the family's 1533-position model. The record is from RNAcentral.